AGUGAACGCUGGCGGUAGGCCUAACACAUGCCAGUCGAACGGCAGCACAGUAAGAGCUUGCGCUUACGGGUGGCGAGUGGCGGACGGGUGAGGAAUACAUCGGAAUCUACUUUUUCGUGGGGGAUCACGUAGGGAAACUUACGCUAAUACCGCAUACGACCUACGGGUGAAAGCAGGGGAUCUUCGGACCUUGCGCGAUUGAAUGAGCAGAUGUCGGAUUAGCUAGUUGGCGGGGUAAAGGCCCACCAAGGCGACGAUCCGUAGCUGGUCUGAGAGGAUGAUCAGCCACACUGGAACUGAGACACGGUCCAGACUCCUACGGGAGGCAGCAGUGGGGAAUAUUGGACAAUGGGCGCAAGCCUGAUCCAGCCAUACCGCGUGGGUGAAGAAGGCCUUCGGGUUGUAAAGCCCUUUUGUUGGGAAAGAAAAGCAGCAGGUUAAUACCCCGCUGUUCUGACGGUACCCAAAGAAUAAGCACCGGCUAACUUCGUG
RNAcentral lists this ribosomal RNA (492 nucleotides) under uncultured bacterium. Its description in RNAcentral is "partial 16S ribosomal RNA". It matches the Rfam family "Bacterial small subunit ribosomal RNA", at positions 29 to 507 of the family's 1533-position model. The record is from RNAcentral.